CAACCUGCCGAUGACUCGGGAAUAGCCUUUCGAAAGAAAAAUUAAUACCCGAUGGCAUAGUUCUUCCGCAUGGUGGAACUAUUAAAGAAUUUCGGUCAUCGAUGGGGAUGCGUUCCAUUAGGUUGUUGGCGGGGUAACGGCCCACCAAGCCUUCGAUGGAUAGGGGUUCUGAGAGGAAGGUCCCCCACAUUGGAACUGAGACACGGUCCAAACUCCUACGGGAGGCAGCAGUGAGGAAUAUUGGUCAAUGGACGAGAGUCUGAACCAGCCAAGUAGCGUGAAGGAUGACUGCCCUAUGGGUUGUAAACUUCUUUUAUACGGGAAUAAAGUGAGGCACGCGUGCCUUUUUGUAUGUACCGUAUGAAUAAGGAUCGGCUAACUCCGUGCCAGCAGCCGCGGUAAUACGGAGGAUCCGAGCGUUAUCCGGAUUUAUUGGGUUUAAAGGGAGCGUAGGCGGACGCUUAAGUCAGUUGUGAAAGUUUGCGGCUCAACCGUAAAAUUGCAGUUGAUACUGGGUGUCUUGAGUACAGUAGAGGCAGGCGGAAUUCGUGGUGUAGCGGUGAAAUGCUUAGAUAUCACGAAGAACUCCGAUUG
Molecule: ribosomal RNA, 594 nt
Filed under: uncultured Bacteroidota bacterium
Lineage: Bacteria; Pseudomonadati; Bacteroidota
Description: bacterial SSU rRNA
Rfam family: Bacterial small subunit ribosomal RNA
Source: RNAcentral